Drosophila miranda is the source of this 3842-nucleotide RNA transcript. RefSeq lists it as uncharacterized. The transcript has 2 exons. NCBI's taxonomy places the organism in Eukaryota, Metazoa, Arthropoda, Insecta, Diptera, Drosophilidae. The record is from RefSeq and is a predicted model, not a curated record.
CAUAAAUACAUACAUAUCGACACAUACAGACAUUGUAUGUGACAUAUGUGGACGCAACAGUUAUAUAUAAAUCCAUCGUUUACUGAAAUCACUGUCCCCCCUCCCCACCCCUUUUUAUUCUACCUUUCUCGUUGCCAAAAGGGUGGUUCGUUAACCCAAGCCGCAGUACAUAGCACUUACAGCCAUACAUACAUACAUACAAGUGCAUUCUUUCUCGUUUUUUCGCUUUCGCAUCUCCACCGUUUGAUUGCGUUGUAUUUGUUGUGAAAAUUUUCGUUGCCGCUCUUGAGUUUAAUAAUAUACAUAUAUUUUUUUCGAACGUUAUUUGCAGCCACCCUUUCUAUUGAUACCUAGUGCCUCGACAUUCAAUAUAACAAUUCGUUUUCGAUUAUUGUCCUCGUUCAAACAUUGAACAAAAAAAAAUUAAAAAUGAUGAUGCAUAUGCAGUCGAGUUGAAAGAGCUGACGAUUGUAACCAAUGGAGAGAUAAUGUCGCCGCCUUUGCUGCAGCAAGUUAUACAAAGCCAGUGUCUUCUUCAGCCCAAACUCGUGCUAGACUCCCGAAAUUGACAUCACCAAAAUUUAGUGGUAAACAUUCGGAGUUCAAAAAUUUCAUUAGCCUUACCGGUGAUCAAAAAAUUUAAUCAUUUGAUUUCGUGCCGCUCUGAGGAAGCAUUAGGAACAAUAAGGGCGUUCCAAGACGCCGAGGAAAAUUAUGAAAAAGCCAUGGCCGGCCUAAAACGAGUAUUUGACAACGAUUAGUUGAUUUUCACGAAUAAUAUCUCCACAUUGUUCAAUCUGCCGAGAAUAUCGCCUCAGUCCGCAUUGUUCCUAAGAAAUCUAAUCGAUACUGUUUCGGCGAUGUACGGAUCGUUACUGUUGAUCGGAGACGAUACAAAAAUUUCGAAUGCAAUGCUCAUUCUUCUCGUUUUGAACAGAGUCGACCCAGUGACGAAACAAAAGUGGGAUUAACAGCUUACUUAUGAGAAGUUGCCGCUUUGGUCUGACUUUGAGAAAGUCUUAAAUCGUCGAUACCAGCAUCUGUCUGCUGAGGAAUCGACCAAGCCAAGACAAGACAAAGUCAUGCCAAGCAAGCAAAAUAAUCGCAGUUUGUUUUCUUUUUCUCCCUCUUCCACCAACAGUAGAACUCAGCAAACUUGUAGCUAUUGCAAUUCAGGAGACCAUGUAGUGUCAAAUUGCCCUCCAUUUUCUCGUCUCUCAGUUAUGCAAAGGUUUGAGUUUGCCAAAUCGGCCUCCUUAAUUGUCUGCGAAAAGGCCACGCUGUUGUAAAAUGCAAAGCCAAUAAAUGUCGAGUGCGCAGCUGCUCACAUCAUACAUUAUUGCAUCGAUACACAGUGUCGGCUAAUAGUCUCGCGUUGCCACCACCCCAAGAGAGUCCUUCUCCUCCAUCAAAUCAGAAUCAACCUUCCACGUCACAUGUUCUGCAUGCGACAGCGUUGGACAGGGUAAUUCUGGCGACGUUGAUCGUAAGCGUCAGAACUAAGAGCGGUGAACAUAUUUUGGGCAGUGAUCUGCUCGACUCUGGAUCACAAAUAAAUUUCAUUACCGAGGACCUCGCUCAUCGCUUACAGAUCCGUAGAGAGGAGUCCUGUAUUAACUUGAUUUGAAUUGGUGAAUCUACUUCUAAAGUAAAGGAUAAAAUACACACAGUGGUGAAGUCGCGAAUUAAUGGUAGUGAGUUCUCCUCUGAUUUUUGGAUCCUGAAAUCAAUUUCAGGUUAUCACCGUGACCAGUCAGUGAAUGUGGCUGACUGGCGAAUCCCAGAGAACAUACCACUGGUAGACCCUUAUUUUUACAAGCCACAAAGAAUAGAUAUGCUAAUUGGAGCCCAAUCGUUCAUUGAAUUAUUAGCUGUUGGUCAAACUAAGCAAGGUGCUGACUUUCCAAUUCUUCAGAAAACCCUUCUUGGUUGGGUUGUGUCCGGAAAAUAUGUUUACAGGAGUUCCUCAAAUUAAAAAUAGUUUGAAUUGCUGUAAAGAGUUGCUAUUAUCCAUCGAUAUGACCCUAAAAAAGUUUUGGUCAUUGGAAGAAAUUCCAUCUACCAAGAAAAUUGAGCAUAAGCUAUGUGAAGAACACUAUCGUAAGACGACUCAGGUACUGUCAUAAGGACGGUUUGAAGAAAGGCUCCCGCUGAAAUCAGAUCCAAGUUUUUUAGGUAACUCAUUUGAGGUUUCUAAGCGGCGGCUUAACAAACAGCGUGGAAUAGGUUAGAAAAUACAAUGUCUCAAUUGGAAGACAUAUCCAUAUCUCGGCUUGUGUAUUCCGAUAUCAUGUCAGCGGUUCAAAUACUUGCUUUUGCUGACGCCUCCAUGAAACUCUAUGGAGCGUGUGUCUACGUAGCUGAACUGCCGAAUUUCUAAAAAUAUCAUUGUUGACUUCCAAAUCCAAAGUAGCGCCGUUCAAGACCAAAACGCUCCCAAGGCUUGAAUUAUGUGCCACUCACCUUCUCGCAGAUCUCUGUCACAGAUUCAAACUACUAUUAAACAUCCCCAUCGAACGAGUUGUUUACUGGUCUGAUUCAGAGGUAACUCUUCAUUGGAUCCGGUCUCAUCCAUCGUUGUUGCCAACUUUCGUUUCGAAUAGAGUGGCUGAGACUCAAGAGUGGUCAGAUGAUGCUACGUGGCGGCAUAUACCCACGAAACAGAACCCAGCAGAUAUUUUCUCAAGAAGUUGUGACGUCAAAGAACGCCCAGUAUAAACUUCGAAAAAACUGUCUCACCGAUCGAAUAUAAUGAAGCCUUUUAUAAAAUUUUCGAGAUCGUCCAGCAUCACAAGUGUAAAGGAGAAAUCGAAAAGGUUCGUCGUGCACCGAGGAUAUCCCCAAACCGUUCAAUGCGACAACGCGUCGGAGCGGUCCGCCAAGGGGUCCAGAGCAAGGGGACGCAAUUCGAGAAUUCGCGUCAAGGAACGGAUGCGAAUUUUUCGUUCAUACCGCCGCGAGCUCCUCACAUGGGAGGGCUAUGGGAGACAGGUGUACAAAUCGCCCAAGAGCUCGCCACAGUCUUCGUCGACAUCGAGGCAACAAUGAACUCGAGGCCGCUGGGAGCCAUCAGACAAGAUCCAAGCGACGGUGAGACCAUAACACCCGGGCACCUGCAGACAGCGGGUCGCGUUUUGGCAGCGAUGGUCCCGCGAGUAUGUCCUGGGGUUGCAAAUUCCUGGCAAAUGGCCCCAGCUGCAACCGAACCUCAAGGAAGGAGACUUCGUCCUCGUGGCCGAAGACAGUCUGCCGCAUCAGGAGUGGCUCGUGGGGAGGGUCAUCGUCCCGCACGAAGGAGAGGACGGCGAAAUAAGGAUUAUCCCUGGAGCGGUUUUUCGGCGGGCCAUAUACAAGUUGGCGCCGCUCCCAAUAUGUUGAAGCCGUGCAUCCCUUCAACGGGGCCGGUGUGGCGUGACCUUUCAUCAAAUCGUUAUAAUAUUUGAAUUGUUUAUUUGUAUCUUAAUUAUAAAGUCAAGUGUAAGUUAGGUUAGGGCAAAGCGGGAGCGCAAUAAAACCUCGCUCUCUCGCUCUUGGCGAAUUCGCCCCGUUUUGCCACCGUAGGUUAGCUAGAAUAAUUAGCUUGAAUUGUGAAGGAAAUAUAGUCUAUCGUUUAUAUUGAAAGAGAUCGAGCGCAAAAUUUUCGCCCCGCUAAAUACAUAUAAUUAAAUUACUGCCACCCAAAGUUUUCGGUGAUUUUUGUUUCUAAAUUUUCAAACUCUUUUAUCAAUACGGGCUAACUAAUAUAACAAAUUGUAAAGAACAUUUUUAUCAAAUAAAACUAACAAAUAUUAAAUAAAGAAAAUAUAAAUAUAUGGUUACCAAACCAGUGAGUUUGGCAAUUG